This is a long non-coding RNA of Gallus gallus (chicken), 1620 nucleotides long. NCBI's taxonomy places the organism in Eukaryota, Metazoa, Chordata, Aves, Galliformes, Phasianidae. The record is from Ensembl.
CCAGACGCCAUCUCGGGAUCGCACGCGUGGCGGCGUUGCCAUGAUAACGGGCCCUCAACACGGCCUCCCUGUAGCCUCGUCUACUCCAGGCACAAAAAUCGGUGAAAAGCAGCCAGUGCAACGCCUGGGUGGUCUCGGGGAAGGAGUUCUAAUGGACAUACCCGGGCAGAACCGUGUGGUCUGCUGCUUGAAUGCAAGCUGGUUUGCUCCAGAGACUGCCGUUGUGCUGGUCAAAUGCCUCUGUAAGCGAAAAUGGGAGGAGCAGAAAGAAAAAGAAUCUCUGCCCAUCUCCUUGCUGUUUGUGCUCAAGGUAUGGAUCCUAAUCUCAUAUGACUGCAUAAAUCAAGAGCAGCCUUACAGAUGACUCUUGACUCACACUGGAAUAAUAACAAGAACUAUUUUUACAGUGGAUCCACUGAAUCUGCUCAGUUCAGGCUGGGGAGAAUGGAGAGCAGUAGUUAUGUUACUACAGAAUCACAGAAUGGUUGAGGUUGGAGAAUAUCUGGAGGGCAUUUGGCCCAAAUUCACCAAUCAAGCAGAGUCACCCAGAGCUGACUGCCAAGGACCAUGUCUAGUUUGUGAAGAUGUCCAAGGUGGGAGAUUCCACAUUCUCUCAGGCAACCUGGUCCAGUGCUUAGUCACCUGCCCACCUAACAUUCUUUGCUGCAAGGACACACUGCUGGAAUAUGGUCAACUCAGUGUCCACCAGAAUCCCCAGGUCAUUUUCUCCAAAUUUACUUUCCAGCAUCUACUGGUACAUGUGGUUGAUCCUCCUCAGUGACAGGACUUUCCACUUCUCCUUGCUGAACUUCAUGAGGUUCCAGUCAGCACCUUUCUCCAGGCUUCUGAGGUCCUUCUGGAUGGCAGCAUUGACCCUCUGAUACAUCAGACACUCUUUCCCAUAUUUUAUGAUAAGGAAACUUACAGAGAAUGCACUCUGUCCCAUCAUUUAGAUCGUUAAAGAAAAUCUUAAACAGAACUGGACCCAGUAUUGAUCACUGAGGUACAGGGAAAAUAGUUACUGGCCUCCAACUAUAUCUUGUACCACUGUUCACCACCCUCUGGGCUCUGCUGUUCAACUAACUGCUCAUCCAGUCCGUAUUUCAACAGCUUGUCUGAGAGGAUCUUAUGGGAAACAGUACUGAAAGCAUUCUUGAAGUAAAGAACAAUACCCAUUGUUUUCCUGUCAUCUUCCAAAGCAACCAUUUCAUCAUAGAAUGUUAUCAUAUUGCUUAAAUAUUAUUUCCCCUUGGAAAUUCAAUCUGACUUCCUCUGAUGAAUUUCUUCUCCUUCAAGUUCCUGGCAGUGGUUUCCAGAAUGAAAACAAUUGGUUCCAUCACCUUCCCAGGAAUCAAGUUGAAGCUGUCCAGCUGGUAUUUCCCUGGGUCCUUCUUGCCCUUCAAGAAGAUAAAAGUGACAUUUGCUUUCCUCUAGUCCUUAUGCAACUCUCCCGGUCACCAGGAUCCUUCAAAGAUUAUUGGGAGUGACCUUGCAAUGACAUCAGGUGGUUUCUUUAUAUUCAGAAAGCUUUUCCAGCAUGGAAUUCACUACUAAAUUACUUUAAGCUCCCUUAAUAGAAAUUUCCAGGAAAUGAACUGCAAAUAAAAAUUCCUUGGUGUU